GACGAACGCUGGCGGCGUGCUUAACACAUGCAAGUCGAACGCUGAAGCUUGGUGCUUGCACUGGGUGGAUGAGUGGCGAACGGGUGAGUAAUACGUGAGUAACCUGCCCUUGACUCUGGGAUAAGCCUGGGAAACUGGGUCUAAUACUGGAUACGACAUGCCUCUGCAUGGUGGUGUGUGGAAAGGGUUUUACUGGUUUUGGAUGGGCUCACGGCCUAUCAGCUUGUUGGUGGGGUAAUGGCCUACCAAGGCGACGACGGGUAGCCGGCCUGAGAGGGUGACCGGCCACACUGGGACUGAGACACGGCCCAGACUCCUACGGGAGGCAGCAGUGGGGAAUAUUGCACAAUGGGCGGAAGCCUGAUGCAGCGACGCCGCGUGAGGGAUGACGGCCUUCGGGUUGUAAACCUCUUUCAGCACGGAAGAAGCGAGAGUGACGGUACGUGCAGAAGAAGCGCCGGCUAACUACGUG
This 472-nucleotide ribosomal RNA is filed under the name uncultured bacterium. Its description in RNAcentral is "partial 16S ribosomal RNA". It matches the Rfam family "Bacterial small subunit ribosomal RNA", at positions 28 to 507 of the family's 1533-position model. The record is from RNAcentral.